AUUGAACGCUGGCGGCAUGCUUUACACAUGCAAGUCGAACGGCAGCGCGGGCUUCGGCCUGGCGGCGAGUGGCGAACGGGUGAGUAAUGCAUCGGAACGUGCCCAGUAGUGGGGGAUAGCCCGGCGAAAGCCGGAUUAAUACCGCAUACGACCUGAGGGUGAAAGCGGGGGGCCGAAAGGGCUCGCGCGAUUGGAGCGGCCGACGUUGGGUUAGCGAGUUGGUGGGGUAAAGGCUUUCCAAGGGGACGAUCCGUAGCUGGUCUGAGAGGACGACCAGCCACAAUGGGGCUGCGAGACGGCCUAGGACCGUACGGGGGGCAGGAGUGGGGAAUUUUGGACAAGGGGGGAAACCCUGAUCCAGGGAGGCCGCGUGCGGGAAGAAGGCCUUCGGGUUGUAAACCGCUUUUGUUUGGGAAGAAAUUCUCUGGGCUAAUACCCCGGGGGGAUGACGGUACCGGAAGAAUAAGCACCGGCUAAUUACGU
RNAcentral lists this ribosomal RNA (483 nucleotides) under uncultured bacterium. RNAcentral describes it as "partial 16S ribosomal RNA". It matches the Rfam family "Bacterial small subunit ribosomal RNA", at positions 28 to 506 of the family's 1533-position model. The record is from RNAcentral.